GCGUGCUAAUCUGCGAUAAGCGCCGGUAAGGUGAUAUGAACCGUUAUAACCGGCGAUACCCGAAUGGGGAAACCCAGUGUGAUUCGUCACACUAUCAUUAACUGAAUCCAUAGGUUAAUGAGGCGAACCGGGGGAACUGAAACAUCUAAGUACCCCGAGGAAAAGAAAUCAACCGAGAUUCCCCCAGUAGCGGCGAGCGAACGGGGAGGAGCCCAGAGCCUGAAUCAGCAUGUGUGUUAGUGGAAGCGUCUGGAAAGGCGCGCGAUACAGGGUGACAGCCCCGUACACAAAAGCGCAUAUGCUGUGAGCUCGAUGAGUAGGGCGGGACACGUGGUAUCCUGUCUGAAUAUGGGGGGACCAUCCUCCAAGGCUAAAUACUCCUGACUGACCGAUAGUGAACCAGUACCGUGAGGGAAAGGCGAAAAGAACCCCGGCGAGGGGAGUGAAAAAGAACCUGAAACCGUGUACGUACAAGCAGUGGGAGCCCCACCACUAAGCCNGAACUUUCCAGAGAUGGAUUGGUGCCUUCGGGAACUGUGAGACAGGUGCUGCAUGGCUGUCGUCAGCUCGUGUUGUGAAAUGUUGGGUUAAGUCCCGCAACGAGCGCAACCCUUAUCCUUUGUUGCCAGCGGUCCGGCCGGGAACUCAAAGGAGACUGCCAGUGAUAAACUGGAGGAAGGUGGGGAUGACGUCAAGUCAUCAUGGCCCUUACGACCAGGGCUACACACGUGCUACAAUGGCGCAUACAAAGAGAAGCGACCUCGCGAGAGCAAGCGGACCUCAUAAAGUGCGUCGUAGUCCGGAUUGGAGUCUGCAACUCGACUCCAUGAAGUCGGAAUCGCUAGUAAUCGUGGAUCAGAAUGCCACGGUGAAUACGUUCCCGGGCCUUGUACACACCGCCCGUCACACCAUGGGAGUGGGUUGCAAAAGAAGUAGGUAGCUUAACCUUCGGGAGGGCGCUUACCACUUUGUGAUUCAUGACUGGGGUGAAGUCGUAACAAGGUAACCGUAGGGGAACCUGCGGUUG
This 1027-nucleotide ribosomal RNA is filed under the name Salmonella enterica subsp. enterica serovar Typhi. RNAcentral describes it as "bacterial SSU rRNA". The stretch from base 260 to 1027 matches the Rfam family "Bacterial small subunit ribosomal RNA", at positions 875 to 1520 of the family's 1533-position model. The record is from RNAcentral. Lineage: Bacteria; Pseudomonadati; Pseudomonadota; Gammaproteobacteria; Enterobacterales; Enterobacteriaceae.